Molecule: ribosomal RNA, 465 nt
Filed under: uncultured bacterium
Lineage: Bacteria
Description: partial 16S ribosomal RNA
Rfam family: Bacterial small subunit ribosomal RNA
Source: RNAcentral
GACGAACGCUGGCGGCGUGCUUAACACAUGCAAGUCGUACGGUAAGGCCCUUUCGGGGGUACACGAGUGGCGAACGGGUGAGUAACACGUGAGUAACCUGCCCACAACUUUGGGAUAACGCUAGGAAACUGGUGCUAAUACUGGAUAUGUGCUCCUGCUGCAUGGUGGGGGUUGGAAAGCUCCGGCGGUUGUGGAUGGACUCGCGGCCUAUCAGCUUGUUGGUGGGGUAGUGGCCUACCAAGGCGGCGACGGGUAGCCGGCCUGAGAGGGUGACCGGCCACAUUGGGACUGAGAUACGGCCCAGACUCCUACGGGAGGCAGCAGUGGGGAAUAUUGCACAAUGGGCGCAAGUCUGAUGCAGCAACGCCGCGUGCGGGAUGACGGCCUUCGGGUUGUAAACCGCUUUCAGCAGGGACGAAGCUUUUUGUGACGGUACCUGCAGAAGAAGCACCGGCUAACUACGUG